GUGAAUCAUCGAAUUUUUGAACGCAAAUUGCACUCACUGGUAUUCCGGAGAGUAUGCCUGUUUGAGGGUCAGUUUAAAUAAAAAUCUGCUUGGUUGUUGCAUUUAGUGGUGACGCACCGGAUUUGGGUCGUAUUGCCUUCGGUUAAGUGUCCUAAAAUUUUGCAUGAUUAUUUUCGAACGUAUAUAAAUGAUAUUACGUACGUUUGCGAUAUCGAAUAUUAGGGGUGGUCAUCUACAUGA
RNAcentral lists this unclassified non-coding RNA (240 nucleotides) under Glomus sp. RNAcentral describes it as "partial contains 5.8S ribosomal RNA and internal transcribed spacer 2". The stretch from base 1 to 71 matches the Rfam family "5.8S ribosomal RNA", at positions 84 to 154 of the family's 154-position model. The record is from RNAcentral. Lineage: Eukaryota; Fungi; Glomeromycota; Glomeromycetes; Glomerales; Glomeraceae.